Long non-coding RNA from Felis catus (domestic cat), 3181 nucleotides. RefSeq lists it as uncharacterized. The transcript has 3 exons. The record is from RefSeq and is a predicted model, not a curated record. NCBI's taxonomy places the organism in Eukaryota, Metazoa, Chordata, Mammalia, Carnivora, Felidae.
UCAUGUGACUUGACUGCAGUCAUACAGUUGGGGACAGGGGGCAACACUGAUGAUCUCUUGCCCCAGGGGCUGUGCUUUCAACCACUAUUAUAUAGCUUCUGGUGACACCGAAGGCCGUGAACUCAGUCAUCGGGACUGCAGCUUCCUGCCGUGUGGUUCAUUUCACCUAUCCUGGCGGCCACAUGGCCUGUACAGCAGAGACAGCAAACUGACAAUCAGGGGGCAGAACUCACCCAACAGGUUCAUUUGAUCGUUUGUGCUUUUUUUGUAUCUUCACAAACCUGUUUUAGUCUGUCCAGGAAUUUGCAAUGUACUUUGACUCAUCAGGUGUUAGGUUUAGAAUCUCACCAAGAAGUCUGGCACCUAUAACUUUACACCACAUAUAAAAUGAUGCCAUGCACAGGCAUUCCCAGCCUGAUCUAUUCAGGCCCCUGAGUUUGCACUCAGCCAUGGUUAUCCACAGCUGUGACAAAAGCGACCAGCAGAAACCCAUUAUCACCCGUGCUUUCAUCACUGCCUAACGCUGAGCUCUUCCACUGCUCCAGGCAUUACGCCAAAUACCUUUGCAAAGAGGAGCUAAGAACAGUCAGGUGCAAUCGUUGUAUCAGUAUUUCACUUUGGGCAUGACAAAACUCAGGUUUAAGUAAGUUCAAUCAUCUACAGAAGACAACACAGCUAGUUAAGCGGCAGGGUCAAGUUCCAGACCCAAGUUUUUCACCAUCGCAUCACACUUCCAAGUCUGGGCUGAAAACAAGGGAUGAGGCAUCUACGUCUGAGAACGUUCCUCUCGAAGUAAUUCAGAGAAUCUGAUUUAAAGCAUGAAGGACGACCAACCUUUGGUAGCCUGUUAACAACCCGUGCAUAGGCUAUCCAGGCAGCGGGCACCACAAAGCAGAGUGCUGGCAUAGGACAUUCCCCACCAUCUUGGUCACCCCGUCCAGCACAAGCUGGCAGCGAUCCAGACCAAGAGCUACCGUGUGGAACUUUCCUCUUUGAGACAUAAAGACAUGCCACCCCUCCCCUCCCACGUGCCUACAAAGAGGUAAAACAGACACUACAUAUCCAGGAUCCUUGCUUAAAGCAUUUGGCCUCAAAGAACUCAGAGCAUUAGAAAGUGUUCUACUGUAUUAGCUGUGGAUACAAUACUGCUAUGUAACAAAGGGAUCAACACAAAACUCAGUGAUACGACAAAAUGCAUCUAUUACCACAUUUACGGAGACCACAGACCGGGGGGUGAGCUAUUUGUCUGACUUCCCAGGCCCGUUCACCAGCCCUGACUGGAGAGAAAGCAGCUAUCUGGGCACGUUCUCUUUACCGAAGAGGUCAGAUGCUACUGAAGACAAACAGGAACAUGUGACACCUUAUUAUGUCAAAGCUCAGAAUUUGCACCGUGUCAAUUAUAGCCACGCUCUCCUGGCCAGAAAAGUCUGUGGUCAUGCCUAAAACAAAUCAACGGGGCAGAAAUAUGUGUUUGCCCCACAGAUGAUGGAAUGGGGAAUACAAGGUGACCAACAAUCCAAGUUACCACGUCCAGUCAUUUGAAAACUAGAUAAAAGCAGUUUCUGAGUCACUGUCUCCUUUGUUGAUCCUCUAUCUUCACUGAUGCUAAUCUCACAGCUGGAAUCCCUUUCACCUCUCCUUCCCCUGGUAAGUCCCUGUUUCUCUUCUUCUAGAACCCGCUCAAAGUCACCUGGUAAGCCCCUGGUUCUCCCCUGCGAGAUCAAGCUCAAACGUCACCUGCUAAAUUCCUGGUCCUCCUCUGUGAGAUCAUGUCACCUGCUAAGUUCCUGAUCCUCCUCUACAAGAUCGUGCUCACACAUCACCCCACUUCACAAGCCUUUCCUAAACCCACCGUGUCAACCGCAUGUGGACGCCAACACCGUGACUUGCCAUUAAGGAGACGCACCCAGAUGCACAGUUUAAGUAUUUUAGGUUAUAAAACUCCCUUAUGAGGACCUGAGGUGUCUGUCAAAAUAUUUGGCUCUGGCAAAACGCGUGUUUCUUAGCGCAUUCUGUACCUGACGUGAUUGACUCCUAGGUCUUCUUCGUUCACUCAACAAGAGCUAAUAAGUAUUUUUUAAGUGACCUACCUGGCUGAAUCAAAAUUUCCAGAGAAACAGAACCAAGAGGAGAACAAAAGACAAACAGAAAGAGACGUGUUGUCAGGGACUGGUCUGCGCGAUCACAGGGGCUGAGGAGUCCCUGGCCUGCUGUCUGCAAGCUGGAGGCCCAGGAAGGAAGUGGGUGGGGAGGCUCCAGUUCAAGCUGGUUGGCCUGAGAGUUGGUGGCUGAUGGUGCAAGCCUGACCUGAGCCCGAAGGACCCCCAGGAGUACCGAUACCUAAGGGCAGGAGACGAAUGCUCCAGUUCAAGCAGAGAGCAAAUCUACCCCUCCUCCCUCUCUCUGUUCCAUGCAGACCCUCAAAAGAACAGAUGAUGCCCACCGGUUCACUCAGUCUCGAUUCGAACGCUCAGGUCGUCUGGAAACACCCUCACACAGAGGCCCAGACACCAUGUUUUACCAUCUGCCUGCGUACCCUUUGGCCCAGUCUUGUUGACACAGAAAACUUUCACACUGGUCCAACGGAACUGGCCAAAGUCCCUUCCGCCCCACUCACCUCUCUGUUUCCUCACCCGCUCCUUCUUCGCACACAGCCCAACCCCUCUCACUGUCCAGGAACUCAUCAGGCGAGCUCGCCAUGGAGUCUCUGUCCGUAUUCAUCUCUCUGGCUUGACCGUACCACUUAUGGAACCAAGUAUCAAUUACUUUAUGCCUGUACUCACACAUCAUCUUCUCUUUAAUAUCUGAAACCAGAUUUCCAAUUACAGCCUCCCCGAGACCACCUUCUUGUACUUCUUAAUGCAUCUAUUAUUUUGUAACGUAUGACAAGUAAAUUAUAUAAACUUGUUUGUCUCCCUCCUACAACGAAAAGCUCUGAAGCCGAGGGAAUUUUUGUCUGCUCCGGGAACCACCGUACGUUCAGGAAACAGAAAAUUUCUGCACAUAAACAUUUGAAGAAGUCAGGAACAAUUUUGGUGCGUGCUCUACUUGUGAAUAUUUUGCCCUUAAGUGGUUUUUUAAAAAAUCAUUGUAGGGGCACCUGGGUGGCUCAGUCACUUAAGUGUCCAACUUCGGCUCAGGUCAUGAUCUCACUGUUCUUGAGUUGGAGUCCCGCAUCAGG